AUCUUCAGGUGAAGAACAUCACUGAAUCAGACCUCGGCCUGUAUUACUGCGCUGUACAUGAGAGAAAGGAUUCCAAAGAUAAAACUGGCAUUCUAAAGGAUAUUUAUCAUUAUGGAAAGACGACCACUCGACUUACUUUCCUUGACAUGACUGAUCCUUUUGUUGAUCUCCCACAAACCACUCCCGCCCCUCCUGUAUCAGACUGUAGCGUCUGCUGGAAGCUGCUGGUCAGUGUGUGUCCUGUGUGUGUUCUCCUCACCUCCACCUGUGUGUGCUGCAUCUGCAGAUACACAACUAAAGCUGAUUGUAAUGCAGAUCAACGAGGGAAAAUGACACUGAGAAAAAGUAAUGAGAUUGGAGACAAUGAUGUCUGCUAUGCGUCACUGGACAUCCCGGGUGGUGGAAAGAAAAGACUGAAAAAGAGGACUGCUGAAAGAUCUGAGUUGUGCACAUAUUCUGAAGUGAAAGUUGAGAAAAUGUAAAACUACUCAUAUCUAUGCCGGAUGUUCAAGGA
Molecule: long non-coding RNA, 514 nt
Organism: Pygocentrus nattereri (red-bellied piranha)
Lineage: Eukaryota; Metazoa; Chordata; Actinopteri; Characiformes; Serrasalmidae
Exons: 4
Source: RefSeq, a predicted model, not a curated record